Molecule: non-coding RNA, 22 nt
Filed under: Arabidopsis thaliana (thale cress)
Lineage: Eukaryota; Viridiplantae; Streptophyta; Magnoliopsida; Brassicales; Brassicaceae
Source: RNAcentral
CAAGUUGUGCCAGAGUAGUCGA